RNAcentral lists this unclassified non-coding RNA (402 nucleotides) under uncultured Diversispora. RNAcentral's name for it is "sequence contains 28S rRNA gene". The record is from RNAcentral. Lineage: Eukaryota; Fungi; Glomeromycota; Glomeromycetes; Diversisporales; Diversisporaceae.
AGUUAAAUAGUACGUGAAAUUGUUGAAAGGGAAACGAUUGAAGUCAGUCAUGCUAGUGAAAAUUCAGUUUGGUGGGUUUUGGGUUCAGGAGUUGAGGCAGGGUCAAACCGUUUCUCUUUUGAACUUGGAAUUUGUCAGAUGCACUUUUUCUUUGGCAGGUCAGCGUCGAUUUCGGAGGUUGUAAAAUACUCGGGGAAAAGUAGCUCUGCUUCGGGAGAGUGUUAUAGACCUUGGGUGAUGCGGCCUGCGGGAUCGAGGAUUGCAGCAAAUGCUUUUGGCUUGUCGCCUGAUCUCUGGACGUCAUCUCGCUUGUAUCAACAUUCUUGGUACCGGUGAGUAAUGGUGCUCAUAGGUUAGAGCGAUCAAAAAUUUUGCUAAGGAUGCUGACGUAAUGGCUUUAAA